AGUGAACGCUGGCGGUAGGCCUAACACAUGCAAGUCGAACGGCAGCACAGUAAGCGCUUGCUCUUACGGGUGGCGAGUGGCGGACGGGUGCGGAAUACAUCGGAAUCUACUUUUUCGUGGGGGAUAACGUAGGGAAACUUACGCUAAUACCGCAUACGACCUACGGGUGAAAGCAGGGGAUCUUCGGACCUUGCGCGAUUGAAUGAGCCGAUGUCGGAUCAGCUAGUUGGCGGGGUAAAGGCCCACCAAGGCGACGAUCCGUAGCUGGUCUGAGAGGAUGAUCAGCGACACUGGAACUGAGACACGGUCCAGACUCCGACGGGAGGCAGCAGUGGGGAAUAUUGGACAAUGGGCGCAAGCCUGAUCCAGCCAUACCGCGUGGGUGAAGAAGGCCUUCGGGUUGUAAAGCCCUUUGGUUGGGAGAGAAAAGCAGCAGGUUAAUACCCCGCUGUUCUGACGGUACCCAAAGAAUAAGCACCGGCUAACUUCGUG
This 492-nucleotide ribosomal RNA is filed under the name uncultured bacterium. Its description in RNAcentral is "partial 16S ribosomal RNA". It matches the Rfam family "Bacterial small subunit ribosomal RNA", at positions 29 to 507 of the family's 1533-position model. The record is from RNAcentral.